Molecule: long non-coding RNA, 262 nt
Organism: Anoplophora glabripennis (Asian longhorned beetle)
Lineage: Eukaryota; Metazoa; Arthropoda; Insecta; Coleoptera; Cerambycidae
Exons: 2
Source: RefSeq, a predicted model, not a curated record
GUUUUAUAUAACUGGAAAGGAAGAAACAAGAUAUCUUUUGAAAAAUCUAAACUGCUAUGAAGAUUAAUUAUUAUCAACAAAACAGAAACCACACUUGCUCUGAAUUAAAUUAAAAAAGAAGCAUUGUAGAGGCAAUGUUUAUAUAGCAAAUUGAUAUUAUUUUUCAAUAUUCUAUUGUCCUUCGAAUGUUGUGCCAUAGUUAACGUAACAUAUUUUUGUAAACCCAAAUGACAAAAAUAAAAACUUGAAAGUUCUUUCUAAA